RNAcentral lists this long non-coding RNA (2058 nucleotides) under Eucalyptus grandis. RNAcentral describes it as "long non-coding RNA (EGRA_LNC005239)". Lineage: Eukaryota; Viridiplantae; Streptophyta; Magnoliopsida; Myrtales; Myrtaceae. The record is from RNAcentral.
GCAAAUGAGAGAUACGCUGGUGACUGUUGCUGAACCUUUUUCUGCUCCAGCUAGAUAAUCGGAGAGCAACUGCCUGUAACUUCGGAAGCAAUGAGGUACUACCAUUGUCCCAUGUCUUUGAAACUAUGUCGUAACACUCAUGAUCUAGGUUCCAGAAAGCUUCGUAGUGAAACAUUUUUGUACGUCUGACAGAUGGGGGACGCGCUUGCAACAGCAAAGGGCAGUGAUCCGAGCCCACAGGAGGUAAAGCAUAAACUUCUGCAGAAGGGAAAGACGUCAGCCAAUCCAGAGAACAAAACGUCCGAUCUAACUUCUCCUUUACAAGAUCAUCCCCUUCACGGUGAUUGGACCAGGUAAAUUCACAGCCUUUACUGUGUAGUUCUAGAAGGGCACAAUCAUUAAUUAGGUUCCGAAAAGAGGUCAUUCUCGAAGUGGAUGCAGGUCUCUUACCCAUCUUCUCCCAGGGAGAAAGGAAAUCAUUAAAGUCACCAAGACAGAUCCAAGGUAAAUGAUUGGCAGCAUGUAUAAUUCUGAUAGUAUCCCAGAACUCUUGACGGAGUUGAUAUGAUGGGGGAGCAUGCAAGCAAGUGAUAUGCGUAGAGACAGAAGUUCGAGGAUCACAGGCAAUGAAAUCAACAAACUGAUCAUCCAAAUGAACAAGAGAAACUUCAAAAGUGUCAUUCCAAAACAGAGCGAGGCCUCCCUUGAAGCCGACAGGGUCCUUCACAUAAGAGUGAGUGAAAUGUAACUUCCGCUGUAUCCUAUUCACAAAAUUCUGAUUAUGCUUCGUUUCCAUUAAGAACAAAAUAUCGGGCUUAUCACAGGCUAUCAUCGCCUUUAAGGCUUGAAUUGUCAGGGGAUUGCCCAAUCCCUGACAAUUCCAAGAGAGAAGAUUCAUUUGGAACCCGGUGGCUGUUGAGGGCCAGCCGCCAAAGCCCGAAGAUCAGGAAAAGUUGCCUCAAAAACUGGGGCAUCCAAAAGAAGGGACUCAUCCAUACCUGUAGAUGAAGGAAAGGUCACAUCAUAAGGUGCAUAGCGUUUAGAUUUUUUACUAGAGCCCCCAAGAGACAGAGGACGAGUGAUCUUAGAUCGCUUCUGUUGCUGUUUAUCCACUGUACAGGGCUGAGUAGCUUUCAUCUUGUCUGCUGCAGGGACGAGAUCCGUAGUAAUAACAGAGGGAUUGACAACAUUCAAGCGCCCAGAAGGUUCGUGUUGUAUACCAGGAUUCAAAGUUACAUCCACCUUGGCAGGAAUAGAUGGAAGAGCGAGGAGUGCAGACUGAAAUGGAGGAGGAGUUUCAGGUACUGCUUCGUCCAUUGUCUCACUAGGGGAUUUAGGUUGAUAAAAAGCAUCCCAGUAUGGACUAAAUUGUUUAAGCUCUGCUCUCAGCCAAGGUCCAUAGAUCAUCGUGUCACGACCGUCAAAUUGGGAUUCAUCAUAAGGAACCUCCGGACAUGAAGCAGCAUAAUGCCCGAGACGUCCACAAGAGUAACAGUAAUGUGACAACCGCUCAUACCGAAAAUCCAACCAGAGAGUUUUUCCUUCAAUACUUAUGAGUUUGCCAUUUUUCAAAGGUGCUUUCAAAUCUAAUUCAAUCCGUAUUCUUGCAGAGUUAUCAGUUUUCACAUCCUGAACUUUGCCUAACUGAGAGACAGCUCUACGCAGAAUAUGAGGAGAAGUCCACUCCAAAGGUAAUCCAACAACAUGCACCCAAAACAUACACUUACUAAAAUCAUAAUGUUGCAAAGGAGUGAUGGGUUGCCAUGGGCGAAGAUUAACCAAGUGGCCAGAAAACAGCCAAGGGCUCCCAUCCAGCACACGCCUUCGCUCUAAUUCAUUUCGAAAUUUGAUUAUAUACAGCCCUGUAUCUGCUGGAGUAAUCUCUACAUGUUCGAUUCUCCAGGCUUUCUUCAUUGCAAUGUGAAAUGCUGAUAUGUUGACAGAAGGAUUAGUAAAAACAUUACCCACCAAGAUAAGACGACAAUCGUGCAGUUUGGCCGAGGAAGGAAGAUCAUCCCAGACCUCCAGCUCCUGUUCUGAGCAUAGUUGACCCAGGCG